GAUUGCGAUCAUACCAGCACUAAUGCACCGGAUCCCAUCAGAACUCCGCAGUUAAGCGUGCUUGGGCGAGAGUAGUACUAGGAUGGGUGACCCCCCGGGAAGUCCUCUUGUUGCAAUCC
RNAcentral lists this ribosomal RNA (119 nucleotides) under Helianthus annuus (common sunflower). The record is from RNAcentral. Lineage: Eukaryota; Viridiplantae; Streptophyta; Magnoliopsida; Asterales; Asteraceae.